This 154-nucleotide ribosomal RNA is filed under the name uncultured Glomus. Its description in RNAcentral is "5.8S ribosomal RNA". It matches the Rfam family "5.8S ribosomal RNA". From Rfam's summary of the family: 5.8S ribosomal RNA (5.8S rRNA) is a component of the large subunit of the eukaryotic ribosome. The record is from RNAcentral. Lineage: Eukaryota; Fungi; Glomeromycota; Glomeromycetes; Glomerales; Glomeraceae.
ACUUUCAACAACGGAUCUCUUGGCUCUCGCAUCGAUGAAGAACGUAGCGAAGUGCGAUAAGUAGUGUGAAUUGCAGAAUUCCGUGAAUCAUCGAAUCUUUGAACGCAAAUUGCGCUCCCUGGCAACCGGGGAGUAUGCCUGUUUGAGGGUCAGU